AUUGAACGCUGGCGGCAUGCUUUACACAUGCAAGUCGAGCGGCAGCGCGGGGGCAACCCUGGCGGCGAGCGGCGAACGGGUGAGUAAUGCAUCGGAACGUGUCCCGUAGUGGGGGAUAACCCGGCGAAAGCCGGGCUAAUACCGCAUAUGCUCUACGGAGGAAAGGGGGGGAGUCCGCAAGGACCUCUCGCUAUGGGAGCGGCCGAUGUCCGAUUAGCUUGUUGGUGGGGUAAUGGCUUACCAAGGCGACGAUCGGUAGCUGGUCUGAGAGGAUGAUCAGCCACACUGGGACUGAGACACGGCCCAGACUCCUACGGGAGGCAGCAGUGGGGAAUUUUGGACAAUGGGGGCAACCCUGAUCCAGCCAUGCCGCGUGCGGGAAGAAGGC
RNAcentral lists this ribosomal RNA (388 nucleotides) under uncultured bacterium. Its description in RNAcentral is "bacterial SSU rRNA". It matches the Rfam family "Bacterial small subunit ribosomal RNA", at positions 28 to 415 of the family's 1533-position model. The record is from RNAcentral.